GACGAACGCUGGCGGCGUGCUUAACACAUGCAAGUCGAACGGAAAGGCCCUGCUUUUGUGGGGUGCUCGAGUGGCGAACGGGUGAGUAACACGUGAGUAACCUGCCCUUGACUUUGGGAUAACUUCAGGAAACUGGGGCUAAUACCGGAUAGGAGCUCCUGCUGCAUGGUGGGGGUUGGAAAGUUUCGGCGGUUGGGGAUGGACUCGCGGCUUAUCAGCUUGUUGGUGGGGUAGUGGCUUACCAAGGCUUUGACGGGUAGCCGGCCUGAGAGGGUGACCGGCCACAUUGGGGCUGAGAUACGGCCCAGACUCCUACGGGAGGCAGCAGUGGGGAAUUUUGCACAAUGGGCGGAAGCCUGAUGCAGCAACGCCGCGUGCGGGAUGACGGCCUUCGGGUUGUAAACCGCUUUCGCCUGUGACGAAGCGUGAGUGACGGUAAUGGGUAAAGAAGCACCGGCUAACUACGUG
This 468-nucleotide ribosomal RNA is filed under the name uncultured bacterium. Its description in RNAcentral is "partial 16S ribosomal RNA". It matches the Rfam family "Bacterial small subunit ribosomal RNA", at positions 28 to 507 of the family's 1533-position model. The record is from RNAcentral.